CUAGGGAGGACCUUCCCUUGGGAGUCUGAGAUAAAAGCUCAGCUCUAAGCUUGUCUUGACUGAUCAGGACUCCUCAGUUCACCAUGAGGCUCCCUGCUCAGCUCCUGGGGCUGCUAUUGCUCUGCGUCCCCGGAUCCAGUGGGGAUGUUGUGAUGACUCAGUCUCCACUCUCCCUGCCCAUCACCCCUGGACAGCCGGCCUCCAUCUCCUGCAGGUCUAGUCAAAGCCUUGUACACAGCAAUGGAAACACAUACUUGAGUUGGUAUCAGCAGAAGCCAGGCCAACCUCCAAGGCGCCUAAUUUAUGAGGUUUCUAACCGGGACUCUGGGGUCCCAGACAGAUUCAGCGGCAGUGGGGCAGGGACAGAUUUCACACUGAAAAUCAGCAGAGUGGAGGCUGAGGAUGUUGGGGUUUAUUACUGCGGGCAAGGUACACACCUUCCUCCCACAGUGGUACAGCCCUGAACAAAAACCUCCCUA
Molecule: non-coding RNA, 479 nt
Organism: Macaca mulatta (Rhesus monkey)
Lineage: Eukaryota; Metazoa; Chordata; Mammalia; Primates; Cercopithecidae
Source: the annotation of a RefSeq genome assembly